Molecule: ribosomal RNA, 492 nt
Filed under: uncultured bacterium
Lineage: Bacteria
Description: partial 16S ribosomal RNA
Rfam family: Bacterial small subunit ribosomal RNA
Source: RNAcentral
AGUGAACGCUGGCGGUAGGCCUAACACAUGCAAGUCGAACGGCAGCACAGUAAGAGCUUGCUCUUACGGGUGGCGAGUGGCGGACGGGUGAGGAAUACAUCGGAAUCUACUUUUUCGUGGGGGAUAACGUAGGGAAACUUACGCUAAUACCGCAUACGACCUACGGGUGAAAGCAGGGGAUCUUCGGACCUUGCGCGAUUGAAUGAGCCGAGGUCGGAUUAGCUAGUUGGCGGGGUAAAGGCCCACCAAGGCGACGAUCCGUAGCUGGUCUGAGAGGAUGAUCAGCCACACUGGAACUGAGACACGGUCCAGACUCCUACGGGAGGCAGCAGUUGGGAAUAUUGGACAAAGGGCGCAAGCCUUAUCCAGCCAUACCGCGUGGGUGAAGAAGGCCUUCCGGUUGUAAAGCCCUUUUGUUGGGAAAGAAAAGCAGCAGGUUAAUACCCCGCUGUUCUGACGGUACCCAAAGAAUAAGCACCGGCUAACUUCGUG